RNAcentral lists this ribosomal RNA (779 nucleotides) under uncultured Neocallimastigales. RNAcentral's name for it is "partial large subunit ribosomal RNA". It matches the Rfam family "Eukaryotic large subunit ribosomal RNA", at positions 26 to 644 of the family's 3401-position model. Lineage: Eukaryota; Fungi; Neocallimastigomycota; Neocallimastigomycetes; Neocallimastigales. The record is from RNAcentral.
CGUCUAUAUACGUAUAGCAUAUCAAUAAGCGGAGGAAAAGAAACUAACUAGGAUUCCCUCAGUAACGGCGAGUGAAGCGGGAAGAGCUCAAAUUUGAAAUCUUCAAGGUUCUACCUUGACGAAUUGUAGUUUAUAAGAAGUGUUUUCUGUUGGAGUGUUGGCUAAAAGUUCUUUGGAAUAGGACAUCAUAGAGGGUGAGAAUCCCGUAUUUGUACCAUUCCUCCUAGCUUUGUGAUACACUUUCAAAGAGUCGGAUUGUUUGGGAAUGCAGUCCAAAAUGGGUGGUAAAUUUCAUCUAAAGCUAAAUAUUGGCGAGAGACCGAUAGCGAACAAGUACCGUGAGGGAAAGAUGAAAAGAACUUUGAAAAGAGAGUUAAACAGUACGUGAAAUUGUCAAAAGGGAAGCGUUUGACACCAGUGUUGUUUUCUCGAAAAUCAAUUAAAAAAGGACCUGGAUUUUGUGUUGUAUUGACUUUAUCAGCUUUCUGCACUCUUUUCUUGUCUUUUUUAAUGCACUUUUCGUUUAACAAGUCAACAUCAAUUUCUUUUGUUGUAAAAGGGUCAUUGGAAGGUGGCUUUCUUUUCGGAGAAAGUGUUUAUAGCCUUUGGCCUCUGCAAUCGGAGAGAUUGAGGUCUGCAGCGUAGAUCCUUCGGGGUUAGAUACAUUUGUGCUAAGUUAUAGCCUUUCAUAGACAACUUGUUGACUAUGAUCAGUCAUGUAGCUUACUCGCUUAUGCUAUUUUACCUACGCUUAGGAUGUUGACUGAUAUGUAGUCGUA